Molecule: transfer RNA, 60 nt
Organism: Cavia porcellus (domestic guinea pig)
Lineage: Eukaryota; Metazoa; Chordata; Mammalia; Rodentia; Caviidae
Rfam family: tRNA
About the family: Transfer RNA (tRNA) molecules are approximately 80 nucleotides in length. Their secondary structure includes four short double-helical elements and three loops (D, anti-codon, and T loops).
Source: Rfam
UUAGCUCAGUGGUGUAAGCACCUGCCUGGCAAGCAUGAGGUUGUGAGUUCGAUCCCCAUA